AUUGAACGCUGGCGGCAGGCCUAACACAUGCAAGUCGAGCGAGCGGCGGACGGGUGAGUAAUGUAUGGGGACUGCCCGAUAGAGGGGGAUAACUACUGGAAACGGUAGCUAAUACCGCAUACUAUCGGAUAACCCAUAUGGGAUUAGCUAGUAGGUGAGGUAAUGGCUCACCUAGGCGACGAUCCCUAGCUGGUCUGAGAGGAGGAUCAGCCACACUGGAACUUGGACACGGCCCCGACUCCUACGGAGGCAGCAUUGGGGAAUAUUGCACAAUGGGCGCAAGUCGGAGUCAGCCAUGCCGCGUGUAUUCAGAAGGCCCUAGGGUUGUAAAGAACUUUCAGUCGGUAGGCGUUACCCCCAGAAGAAGCACCGGCUAACUCCGUGCCAGCAGCCGCGGUAAUAC
RNAcentral lists this ribosomal RNA (403 nucleotides) under uncultured bacterium. RNAcentral describes it as "partial 16S ribosomal RNA". It matches the Rfam family "Bacterial small subunit ribosomal RNA", at positions 30 to 526 of the family's 1533-position model. The record is from RNAcentral.